Molecule: transfer RNA, 84 nt
Filed under: Plantactinospora solaniradicis
Lineage: Bacteria; Bacillati; Actinomycetota; Actinomycetes; Micromonosporales; Micromonosporaceae
Also listed under: 1 other name
Description: tRNA-Gln
Rfam family: tRNA
About the family: Transfer RNA (tRNA) molecules are approximately 80 nucleotides in length. Their secondary structure includes four short double-helical elements and three loops (D, anti-codon, and T loops).
Source: RNAcentral
CGGGGAAUGGUGUAACUGGCAACAUGCCCGGCUUUGAACCGGGAGACGGUAUCGCUUGUGCUGGUUCGAGUCCAGCUUCCCCGG